GACGAACGCUGGCGGCGUGCCUAAUACAUGCAAGUAGAACGCUGAAGAGAGGAGCUUGCUCUUCUUGGAUGAGUUGCGAACGGGUGAGUAACGCGUAGGUAACCUGCCUGGUAGCGGGGGAUAACUAUUGGAAACGAUAGCUAAUACCGCAUAAAAUUGAUUAUUGCAUGAUAAUUAAUUGAAAGAUGCAAUUGCAUCACUACCAGAUGGACCUGCGUUGUAUUAGCUAGUUGGUGAGGUAACGGCUCACCAAGGCGACGAUACAUAGCCGACCUGAGAGGGUGAUCGGCCACACUGGGACUGAGACACGGCCCAGACUUCUACGGGAGGCAGCAGUAGGGAAUCUUCGGCAAUGGGGGGAACCCUGACCGAGCAACGCCGCGUGAGUGAAGAAGGUUUUCGGAUCGUAAAGCUCUGUUGUAAGAGAAGAACGGGUGUGAGAGUGGAAAGUUCACACUGUGACGUAUCUACCAGGAAGGACG
RNAcentral lists this ribosomal RNA (482 nucleotides) under Streptococcus sanguinis. RNAcentral's name for it is "bacterial SSU rRNA". It matches the Rfam family "Bacterial small subunit ribosomal RNA", at positions 28 to 494 of the family's 1533-position model. The record is from RNAcentral. Lineage: Bacteria; Bacillati; Bacillota; Bacilli; Lactobacillales; Streptococcaceae.